UUUCGCAAUGCCCGAAAGGGUGACGAAGCGACGCCGCGUGCGGGAAGAAGGCCUUCGGGUUGUAAACCGCUGUCGGGAGUUAAGAAAUGUAAGGAUGUUAAUAGCAUCUUUACUUGACUAAGGCUCCGGAGGAAGCCACGGCUAACUCUGUGCCAGCAGCCGCGGUAAUACAGAGGCGGCAAGCGUUGUUCGGAAUUAUUGGGCGUAAAGAGCACGUAGGCGGCUAUGUAAGUCGGUUGUGAAAGCCUCCGCUCAACGGGAGAACAGCAUCCGAUACUGCAUGGCUUGAGUGCGGGAGGGGAGAGUGGAACUUCUGGUGGAGCGGUGAAAUGCGUAGAUAUCAGAAGGAACGCCGGCGGCGAAAGCGGCUCUCUGGCCCAUAACUGACGCUGAGUGUGCGAAAGCUAGGGGAGCAAACGGGAUUAGAUACCCCGGUAGUCCUAGCCGUAAACGAUGGGCACUAAGUAGAGGGGUUUUAAUCUC
This 483-nucleotide ribosomal RNA is filed under the name uncultured bacterium. Its description in RNAcentral is "bacterial SSU rRNA". It matches the Rfam family "Bacterial small subunit ribosomal RNA", at positions 364 to 841 of the family's 1533-position model. The record is from RNAcentral.